ACGGAGGAUCCAAGCGUUAUCCGGAUUUAUUGGGUUUAAAGGGUGCGCAGGCGGAUCAAUAAGUCAGGGGUGAAAAAUUUCAGCUUAACUGGAAUAGUGCAUUUGAUACUGUUGGACUUGAGUAUAAUUGAGGUGACUGGAAUGUGAUGUGUAGCGGUGAAAUGCUUAGAUAUGUCACAGAACGCCAAUCGCGAAGACAGCUCACGAAAUUAUUACUGACGCUGAUGCGCGAAAGCGUGGGGAGCAAACAG
This 251-nucleotide ribosomal RNA is filed under the name uncultured prokaryote. RNAcentral's name for it is "partial 16S rRNA". It matches the Rfam family "Bacterial small subunit ribosomal RNA", at positions 525 to 775 of the family's 1533-position model. The record is from RNAcentral.